ACUCAACAGAUUUGGACCUACUUUGACAGUGAGGAUGAUGCUCUUCGUUUAUUGGCUUUUGUCCUAUUUGGCAUCCUGACCCGCUUGACAAAGA
Molecule: non-coding RNA, 94 nt
Organism: Chelonoidis abingdonii (Abingdon island giant tortoise)
Lineage: Eukaryota; Metazoa; Chordata; Testudines; Testudinidae
Source: RefSeq, a predicted model, not a curated record